AACAUUGCCUCUUGAAAAUAUAAGAGGUCCAUCCUGCCCAGUGACAUCCCCUAUGUUCAACGGCCGCGGUAUCCUAACCGUGCUAAGGUAGCGUAAUCAUUUGCCUCUUAAUUGGUGGCCUGUAUGAAUGGACAAACGAGAGCUUAACUGUCUCUUUUUUACAACAAAAACCUAACCUUUGGGUGAAAAGGCCCAAAUAAUUUUAUAAGACGAGAAGACCCUAUCAAGCUUCACUAAAACAAGGCACCACCAAACACCAAGUGUAAAUUAACUGUCUUAAAUAUUAGUUUAGUUGGGGCGACUGGGGACCAAUAGAAGCGUCCCCCCAUCAUAAAGGAUACUAAUCCAAUAAAACUGACCCGUCUACCACGAUCAAGAGAAAAGCUACUGUAGGGAUAACAGGCUAAUCUUCCUUAAGAGCCCAAAUCGAAAGGAAGGCUUGGCACCUCGAUGUUGGCUUAAGACACCCCUAAAGUGCAGCAGCUUUAAAAGGUAGGUAUGUUCACCCUUUAAAGUCUUACGUGAUCUGAGUUCAACCCC
This is a ribosomal RNA of 540 nucleotides. It matches the Rfam family "Bacterial large subunit ribosomal RNA", at positions 1812 to 2618 of the family's 2925-position model.